RNAcentral lists this ribosomal RNA (497 nucleotides) under uncultured bacterium. RNAcentral's name for it is "partial 16S ribosomal RNA". It matches the Rfam family "Bacterial small subunit ribosomal RNA", at positions 28 to 523 of the family's 1533-position model. The record is from RNAcentral.
GAUGAACGCUGGCGGCGUGCUUAACACAUGCAAGUCGAACGAAGCACUUUUAUUUGAUUUCUUCGGAAUGAAGAUUUUAGUGACUGAGUGGCGGACGGGUGAGUAACGCGUGGGUAACCUGCCUCAUACAGGGGGAUAACAGUUAGAAAUGACUGCUAAUACCGCAUAAGACCACAGCACCGCAUGGUGCAGAGGUAAAAACUCCGGUGGUAUGAGAUGGACCCGCGUCUGAUUAGGUAGUUGGUGGGGUAACGGCCUACCAAGCCGACGAUCAGUAGCCGACCUGAGAGGGUGGCCGGCCACAUUGGGACUGAGACACGGCCCAAACUCCUACGGGAGGCAGCAGUGGGGAAUAUUGCACAAUGGGGGAAACCCUGAUGCAGCGACGCCGCGUGAGCGAUGAAGUAUUUCGGUAUGUAAAGCUCUAUCAGCAGGGAAGAAAAUGACGGUACCUGACUAAAAAGCCCCGGCUAACUACGUGCCAGCCGCCGCAGUAA